UGGGGAAUUUUGGACAAUGGGCGCAAGCCUGAUCCAGCCAUGCCGCGUGCGGGAAGAAGGCCUUCGGGUUGUAAACCGCUUUUGUCAGGGAAGAAAUCUUCUGAGUUAAUACCUCGGGAGGAUGACGGUACCUGAAGAAUAAGCACCGGCUAACUACGUGCCAGCAGCCGCGGUAAUACGUAGGGUGCAAGCGUUAAUCGGAAUUACUGGGCGUAAAGCGUGCGCAGGCGGUUUUGUAAGACAGAGGUGAAAUCCCCGGGCUCAACCUGGGAACUGCCUUUGUGACUGCAAGGCUUGAGUGCGGCAGAGGGGGAUGGAAUUCCGCGUGUAGCAGUGAAAUGCGUAGAUAUGCGGAGGAAACACCGAUGGCGAAGGCAAUCCCCCUGGGCCUGCACUGACGCUCAUGCACGAAGGCGUGGGGAGCAAACAGGAUUAGAUACCCUGGUAGUCCACGCCCUAAAACCGAUGUCAACUGGUUGUUGGGAAGGUUCCCUUCUCAGUAACGUAGCUAACGCGUGAAAGUUGACCGCCUGGGGGAGUACGGCCGCAAGGUUG
This 555-nucleotide ribosomal RNA is filed under the name uncultured bacterium. Its description in RNAcentral is "partial 16S ribosomal RNA". It matches the Rfam family "Bacterial small subunit ribosomal RNA", at positions 355 to 896 of the family's 1533-position model. The record is from RNAcentral.